GUUAGACAGGACUCUGAACUGCAAUCCUGGUGGAAGGAAAUCCAAGAGAAGGGUCAUGGUGACAAGAAAGGUGAACUAUGGUGGCCCAGGAUGCAAACUUUUGAUGAGCUAAUUGAAACAUGCACUAUCAUCAUAUGGAUAGCUUCUGCUCUUCAUGCAGCCAUCAAUUUUGGACAAUAUCCUUACGGAGGUUACCUCCCCAACCGCCCAACCAUAAGUCGCAGGUUGAUGCCUGAAAAAGGUUCUGCUGAGUACAGGGAGCUUGAGACCAAUUUUGAAGAGGCUUUCUUCAAAACCAUCACUGCCAAGCCACAGGCACUUCUUGGUAUUUCCCUUGUAGAAAUCUUGUCAAUGCAUUCACCAGAUGAGGAAUAUCUUGGGCAGCGAACCCCUGGAUGGACUUCAGAUACAGAACCAUUGCAAGCAUUUAAGAAAUUUCAGGAGACACUGGAAGGAAUUGGGAAAAGAAUCUCGGACAGGAACAUAGAUACAAAAUUGAAGAACCGUAUUGGACCUGUCAAUAUGCCAUACACUCUGCUCUUUCCAACAAGCGAAGAAGGACUUACAGGAAAGGGCAUCCCCAACAGUAUUUCUAUUUAAAGCUACUCUGCAAGGCUUCUUGUUUUUACUGUUGCUUUAG
This 640-nucleotide unclassified non-coding RNA is filed under the name Hevea brasiliensis (rubber tree). Lineage: Eukaryota; Viridiplantae; Streptophyta; Magnoliopsida; Malpighiales; Euphorbiaceae. The record is from RNAcentral.